UAAGUAUUGUAAACACCAUGAACAUUAUUUGAAGAAUUAUUGUAGAAAUUCAUUGUUGAUAACACUACUUAUAAGACUCAUUCAAAGGAUGUGUUGAUAUAUUUCAGGUAGUGAGAGCCUACUGAAUAUACAAAUUAAAUACUAUGAUUGUAAAGUACUGAUACAAUCAUCACUAGGUGGUAUUAAUGGUAUAGGAAUGUAAUUCUUGAAUACAAAUGACCUAAAGAGUUUAAGUUCACUAGAAAACAUAUGAUUCUUGGAAAUAUAAUUGGACGGGAUAUACAAGCAAUACAUGUAUUAG
Molecule: long non-coding RNA, 301 nt
Filed under: Pelobates cultripes (western spadefoot toad)
Lineage: Eukaryota; Metazoa; Chordata; Amphibia; Anura; Pelobatidae
Source: RNAcentral